GAUGAACGCUGGCGGCGUGCCUAAUACAUGCAAGUCGAGCGAACGGACGAGAAGCUUGCUUCUCUGAUGUUAGCGGCGGACGGGUGAGUAACACGUGGAUAACCUACCUAUAAGACUGGGAUAACUUCGGGAAACCGGAGCUAAUACCGGAUGAUAUUUUGGACCGCAUGGUUCAAAGGUGAAAGACGGUCUUGCUGUCACUUAUAGAUGGAUCCGCGCUGCAUUAGCUAGUUGGUAAGGUAACGGCUUACCAAGGCAACGAUGCAUAGCCGACCUGAGAGGGUGAUCGGCCACACUGGAACUGAGACACGGUCCAGACUCCUACGGGAGGCAGCAGUAGGGAAUCUUCCGCAAUGGGCGAAAGCCUGACGGAGCAACGCCGCGUGAGUGAUGAAGGUCUUCGGAUCGUAAAACUCUGUUAUUAGGGAAGAACAUAUGUGUAAGUAACUGUGCACAUCUUGACGGUACCUAAUCAGAAAGCCACGGCUAACUACGUG
This 497-nucleotide ribosomal RNA is filed under the name uncultured bacterium. RNAcentral describes it as "partial 16S ribosomal RNA". It matches the Rfam family "Bacterial small subunit ribosomal RNA", at positions 28 to 507 of the family's 1533-position model. The record is from RNAcentral.